AAAGGAAUAGACGGGGGCCCGCACAAGCGGAGGAACAUGUGGUUUAAUUCGAUGAUACGCGAGGAACCUUACCCGGGAUUGAAAUGUACCUGACGGGACGUGAAAGCGUCCUUCCAGCGAUGGCAGGUAUGUAGGUGCUGCAUGGUUGUCGUCAGCUCGUGCCGUGAGGUGUCGGCUUAAGUGCCAUAACGAGCGCAACCCUGACUGUCAGUUGCUAACAGGUAGUGCUGAGGACUCUGGCGGGACUGCCGGCGUAAGCUGUGAGGAAGGUUGGGAUGACGUCAAAUCAGCACGGCCCUUACAUCCGGGGCGACACACGUGUUACAAUGGCAUGGACAAAGGGUUGCUACUUAGUGAUAGGAUGCUAAUCUCUAAACCAUGUCUCAGUUCGGAUCGGAGUCUGCAACUCGACUUCGUGAAGCUGGAUUCGCUAGUAAUCGCGCAUCAGCCAUGGCGCGGUGAAUACGUUCCCGGGCCUUGUACACACCGCCCGU
RNAcentral lists this ribosomal RNA (494 nucleotides) under uncultured bacterium. RNAcentral describes it as "bacterial SSU rRNA". It matches the Rfam family "Bacterial small subunit ribosomal RNA", at positions 903 to 1397 of the family's 1533-position model. The record is from RNAcentral.